Molecule: ribosomal RNA, 430 nt
Filed under: uncultured Acidobacteriota bacterium
Lineage: Bacteria; Pseudomonadati; Acidobacteriota
Description: bacterial SSU rRNA
Rfam family: Bacterial small subunit ribosomal RNA
Source: RNAcentral
UAGGGAAUUGUUCGCAAUGGGCGCAAGCCUGACGACGCAACGCCGCGUGGAGGAUGAAGACCUUCGGGUCGUAAACUCCUUUCGACCGAGAUGAAUACCCACCGACCUAACACGUCGGCGGCAUGACAGUAUCGAGGGAAGAAGCCCCGGCUAACUCUGUGCCAGCAGCCGCGGUAAUACAGGGGGGGCGAGCGUUGUUCGGAAUUACUGGGCGUAAAGGGUUCGUAGGUGGCUAGCUAAGUCAGACGUGAAAUCCCUCAGCUUAACUGGGGAACUGCGUCUGAUACUGGCAAGCUUGAGUGCAGGAGAGGAACGCGGAAUUCCAGGUGUAGCGGUGAAAUGCGUAGAUAUCUGGAGGAACACCGGUGGCGAAGGCGGCGUUCUGGACUGCAACUGACACUGAGGAACGAAAGCCAGGGGAGCAAACGGG